RNAcentral lists this ribosomal RNA (264 nucleotides) under uncultured bacterium. RNAcentral's name for it is "partial 16S ribosomal RNA". It matches the Rfam family "Bacterial small subunit ribosomal RNA", at positions 524 to 787 of the family's 1533-position model. The record is from RNAcentral.
UACGUAGGGGGCAAGCGUUGUCCGGAAUCAUUGGGCGUAAAGAGCGCGUAGGCGGUCCGGUAAGUCAGCUGUGAAAGUCAAGGGCUCAACCCUUGAAAGCCGGUUGAUACUGUCGGGCUAGAGUCCGGAAGAGGCGAGUGGAAUUCCCGGUGUAGCGGUGAAACUGCGCAGAUAUCGGGAGGAACACCAAUGGCGAAGGCAGCUCGCUGGGACGGUACUGACGCUGAGGCGCGAAAGCGUGGGGAGCAACAGGAUUAGAUACCC